This is a long non-coding RNA of Puntigrus tetrazona (Sumatra barb), 1336 nucleotides long. RefSeq lists it as uncharacterized. The record is from RefSeq and is a predicted model, not a curated record. The transcript has 3 exons. NCBI's taxonomy places the organism in Eukaryota, Metazoa, Chordata, Actinopteri, Cypriniformes, Cyprinidae.
GGGGAUAUUCCGAUGUAAGCUGCAUUGCUCUCUCACUCCCACGCGCCGGCUUGACGCAAAUCCUCGCGUGGGCGGUGCCGCGCGUGGGACGGAAUACCGAGCGAGAAAGAGAGAGAAGACCUGAACGGUCACACGCGGUUUGGAGAAAUCGAGCGUCGCCAUCGCUCAGCGGUGGAUGGGUGCCGUCAGAAUAAGAGCCCAAACAAGCUGAUAAAAACAUCAUAGCGACGGAUGACUCCAGUUCAUUGAUUAACAUCCAUUAAAGUGGAAAACUACAUGUGUACUUUUUAUCCCGACGGCACCCAUUCACCACAGAGGAUCCACCGAUGAGCAAGCCAUGUAACGCUAAAUAUCUCCAGCCGAGCUCAUCUACAUCUCGGAAAGCCUGAGGGUGACUACAUUUUUCAUUUGAUGAACCGUUUCUUUUCAUUAUAACAUUUAAACUCUUAAACCAGGAGCAGCAAAAUAUUUUUGGUUCUCGGAAAUGCUUGCUGUAACGUUUAAACAACGCAAGGCUGUUUUGCAGCUUACAAUGCCGAUUGCAUUUAUGCAUCGAAUGACAGCGAGCAAACCCCGCAGGAAAUUUACUCACGCUCUGUUGGGCGCAAAAUCCCCCCCGAAACCCACUUGAGCACACCGCUCUACAAAUGCGCAUUCAGAAUGGUCAGAAAGUUUUUUCCUUCGUACAUCUCAAUAAAAUUACAGCUUUCAACAGACGCCUAAACCGACGCCACAGCAGAAUCUACCUAUGAAAAUUAAACGACGCUUGGUUUUUGCUCUAGCUUGACAAAUGCACGAGCUGCAUAUUAAAAAAUGAAACGCAGUCGUGCAUCUUAAAGGCUGGAUCUUUAGAUAGAGGGGUGCAUCAGCAGCCUCCCAUCUGCCUGAGCAUCUUGAGCUAUUUUGGGAAGGAGGCUGGGCACAGCGAACAGCCCCUGGGAGGAAGUGCGUGGUGGAUGCUGUCAACCCCCACUUUCGUGUUGGUCUAUUCCUCAAAACAAAAGCUUUUCCAAGAUAUCUUCCAUCUCAUGUGACAAAAAUGACAAGCACCUCGCCUGCAAUCACGGAUCCUUUUACCGGGGUUUCGCAAAGCGUAUAUCUGCUCUCAAGGGAACGGGAUGAUUUUCUGUGGUUUGCCAUCGCAGCGACGCUCCCCGUCUUGUAAACAACGCAUGUUUGUAUCGUAUGUCAUUAUUUCGGGUAGGGCUACGACGUUUGUAGCGUGUUUUUAAAAUAACGUGAAGCGAUCAUUUAGACGGAAGUUGCGAAGGAUGGUAAAAUAGUGUAUCCGAAACAUAGAUGACAGCUAAUAGCUAACAUUUCAUGUUGUAUUACA